GUAGUACACGCUGUAAACGAUGUCGAUUUGGAGUUUGUUGCCUAGAGUGAUGGGCUCCGAAGCUAACGCGAUAAAUCGACCGCCUGGGGAGUACGGCCGCAAGGUUAAAACUCAAAUGAAUUGACGGGGGCCCGCACAAGCGGUGGAGCAUGUGGUUUAAUUCGAUGCAACGCGAGGAACCUUACCUGGUCUUGACAUCCAUAGAAUUCUGCAGAGAUGUGGGAGUGCCUUCGGGAACUAUGAGACAGGUGCUGCAUGGCUGUCGUCAGCUCGUGUUGUGAAAUGUUGGGUUAAGUCCCGCAACGAGCGCAACCCUUAUUCUUUGUUGCCAGCGAUUUGGUCGGGAACUCAAAGGAGACUGCCGUUGAUAAAGCGGAGGAAGGUGGGGACGACGUCAAGUCAUCAUGGCCCUUACGACCAGGGCUACACACGUGCUACAAUGGCGUAUACAAAGGGAAGCGAAGGUGCGAGCUGGAGCGGAUCUCAUAAAGUACGUCUAAGUUCGGAUUGGAGUCUGCAACUCGACUCCAUGAAGUCGGAAUCGCUAGUAAUCGUAGAUCAGAAUGCUACGGUGAAUACGUUCCCGGGCCUUGUACACACCGCCCGUCACACCAUGGGAGUGGGUUGCACCAGAAGUAGAUAGCUUAACCGCGAGGGGGGCGUUUACCACGGUGUGAUUCAUGAAUGGGGUGAAGUCGUAACAAGGUAACCA
RNAcentral lists this ribosomal RNA (712 nucleotides) under uncultured Enterobacteriaceae bacterium. RNAcentral's name for it is "bacterial SSU rRNA". It matches the Rfam family "Bacterial small subunit ribosomal RNA", at positions 790 to 1502 of the family's 1533-position model. Lineage: Bacteria; Pseudomonadati; Pseudomonadota; Gammaproteobacteria; Enterobacterales; Enterobacteriaceae. The record is from RNAcentral.